UGAUGAUGAUGAUGAUGAUGAUGAUGACGAUGUUAAAUAAUAAGAUGAAACAACACUUUAUCAGCUAUGUUUUCCUCAUUUUAACACCACCAUUAUCAUCAUCAAUACCA
Molecule: microRNA precursor, 110 nt
Filed under: Bigelowiella natans CCMP2755
Lineage: Eukaryota; Cercozoa; Chlorarachniophyceae
Description: miRNA EPrBNAG00000013530
Source: RNAcentral